RNAcentral lists this long non-coding RNA (2483 nucleotides) under Gossypium raimondii (Peruvian cotton). Its description in RNAcentral is "long non-coding RNA (GRAI_LNC007810)". The record is from RNAcentral. Lineage: Eukaryota; Viridiplantae; Streptophyta; Magnoliopsida; Malvales; Malvaceae.
CCGAAUAAAAGCAAAACAAAAUCACCACCUUCAGCAGAUGAGAUUGCUUGCUUCUAUCAUUAUUUUAUUUACAUUUAAAACGUAAAUUUUUUAAUAAAUUUACCACUGCAAUAAGCGAAUGUUGGAGAGUGGAUAAGAAGGACUGUGACCCCUUUGUUUCUUGUUUUAUAAAAAUAUGCGAUUUGUGUAUUCAUGUUAAUUCUACAAUAUCUGGAAAAUAUAUACCAAGCAUUAUGCUCCUUAUGUGAUAGUGGAAGAAGACUAAAGAAAACAGGAAUGAAAAACAACCAUUAAUUCUAGUCUGUACCAGGUAUUAAAAAGGAUAGCGCAUCUUGGCAAAGAACGGCAACCUGCACUGGGACAAUGUUAUCUGCCAACUAAUGCUGAUAACUACGUAUCUCCAAACCCAAACUUAAAUGUUUCCUCAAACCAAAACCCUGCAAGAAAACAAAGUAACAUUCAUAAACCCAGUACAGUAGAUACACACACCAAGUGCUAGAAAAUAUUUACCAAAACCAGCUUGCAAAUAGAAAACAAAAACUCGUGAAGCUUCCUCAAAUGCUAACAAAUUUCCUAAACAACAAUCUAACACAACUACUCAACAGGCUGGCAAUAUUUCAUCAAAGGAGAAAAUAAAUAAUAAGUACAAGCAAAGAGAAAGCAGCAGUUAUAAAAAUAAGGGUGAAAUUCACUGCUAUUACCUUUACACACUUUGGCCUGCUUAAUUCGGUCUGACCAAAAAAGAGAAAGAAACAGCAUAUUUGGAGCUCGGUAACUGCCCAACAAACCCGUGCUCUAUAUCAAGAACUUGCCGAUGUAAUCACAUAACAUAACUAUAUGUAGCUAUUUUAAUCACAUAAGAAACUAAAUAAGUGAACUGAAAACCAAUAACACCAAAGCUGUCACCACAUAUGCUUGUUCCAUAAGAUAAACCAAAUUCAAACAUAUGAUCUUAUUCGUACCUGGAAGACAAGAGGUUCAUUCAAAUCAACAAUGAAUUUGUGUGCAACCAUCUUCGCAAUUGCAUUAAAGAAAAAAAUAUGCUUAGCAAAGGAUUAAUAAAUUACUUUUUUUUUUAAAGAAUAACAAAAACAAGUAUAAAAAAAUAUAAUUACUAAUAAUUACAUUAGUUUAUUUUAUUGCUAUCAAAUACUAUUCAUGUUAUCAAAUACUUCUUUUGUCCCAUUGUGGGCAGGGCAGGCUCAAGUCCAUACAAUUCAGGCUCAAGUCCAUACAAUUCAGUUCUUUUAUAUGCUUCAAUAAAAACAACAAUCAUACCCUGGAAUGCCACUGUGAUUAAUUGUAUUAUUGCCUAUAGAUGUUUCAUCAAAUUUCAAAUGGUGUAAAGUGUACCCCGGAUUUGAAACAGCACAGGUCUGCUCUCAUUCACUAUAAAGUUUCCAUUUACUCAAGCUGAGAACUAGGGUAAUCUUUAACAUGAAGGUCUCAUGAAUUUAACUUUUCUCUAACAAGGUUAAGUCCCUACUGAUUAGUAAAGUCUGAGUUCAAAUUUUGUGAACAAAAAAAUAGUCGGAGAGAGCUUUCCUCGCUUUGAGGUCUUGCAUUUCGAUAAUAAAGUCUUACAAAAACAAAUCUUGACAGCUACCCAAAUUUUAAAAAAAAAACUAAAUUUGGGACGGGUGCUGUAAUGGGGUGGCCAUAUGAACUGACAACCUGAGAAUUGCUGCUUGAAACUCACUGGGAUUGUAUAUAUCAGCUUCAUACAAUCUUAACUUGGUUUGUGCAUUUGGGAGGCUUUUAAGAAGCCCUACUUUAUAAGCAUCUCCUGCAAGUCGCACCAUACAACUUAGAUACCAAGAACAGACAGAUAAACCAAAGACAACAAAGAGAGAAGAAAAAGUAACCCAAAUUCCUCGUAGUAGCUUGAACAAUGUGUCCCUUCCAGGAGCCUCUUGACAAGCGAAGAACCUAGGCAACCGGCAGCACCCAAAUUAAAAAAACAUUUGAACUACCCAAAUUAAAAUUUCUAAAAUUUUAACACGAUUGAAAACUAAAGGAAGUAAAUUUUAACAAACCCAAACAAAAAAAAAAUCAAAAACCUCACAUACUUGCUAAGACUGAGUUCGCUGCUGGGUAAAGUGGCUAGGCGUCGGGAAACUGGGUAAACGGUUGCUCGGUUACAGCCUCUGAGGAUAGGGGGCACAGUGGGUGUUUAGGGUUUCGAGAAAUCAAAGAACAGAAUGAGAAAUAAAAUAGAAUAACAGGUUGAGAGGAUUUCCGAGUAUAAAAUAGAAGAACAGGUUUUUAAUUUUAGUCAAGCAAAAAAGAACAGGCUGAGAAAGAAAAGGGAAUCGGGAAAGAAAAGGGAAUCGGGGGUGAGAAAUAAAACUGGGUGAGCAAAACUCGAUUUGACUCGAAAAAAUUAAAAAAAAAUUCAAAUUUUGAGUUAAACGAAUCGAGUUAUUCGAGUUAAUCGAGUUAUUCGAAUCAACUCAAAUUUUUUUUCAAAUUUCGAGUUCAAA